Molecule: small nuclear RNA, 107 nt
Filed under: Callithrix jacchus (white-tufted-ear marmoset)
Lineage: Eukaryota; Metazoa; Chordata; Mammalia; Primates; Cebidae
Source: RNAcentral
GUGCUUGCUUAGGAAGCACGUACACUAAAAUUGGAACGCUACAUAGAAGGCCGGCCUGGCCUCAGCGCAAGAAUGACACGCUAAGCUGUGCAGCGUUCCGUUUUUUA